GAUUCUGGCUCAGGAUGAACGCUAGCGACAGGCUUAACACAUGCAAGUCGAGGGGCAGCAUAAAGUAGCAAUACUUGGUGGCGACCGGCGCACGGGUGAGUAACGCGUAUGCAACCUACCUAUCAGAGGGGAAUAACCCGGCGAAAGUCGGACUAAUACCGCAUAAAACAGGGGCACCGCAUGGUGAUAUUUGUUAAAGAAAUUCGCUGAUAGAUGGGCAUGCGUUCCAUUAGGUAGUUGGUGAGGUAACGGCUCACCAAGCCGACGAUGGAUAGGGGAACUGAGAGGUUGGUCCCCCACACUGGUACUGAGACGCGGACCAGACUCCUACGGGAGGCAGCAGUGAGGAAUAUUGGUCAAUGGGCGAGAGCCUGAACCAGCCAAGUCGCGUGAAGGAAGAAGGAUCUAUGGUUCGUAAACUUCUUUUGCAGGGGAAUAAAGUGCAGGACGUGUCCUGUUUUGUAUGUACCCUGAGAAUAAGGAUCGGCUAACUCCGUGCCAGCAGCGGC
This 509-nucleotide ribosomal RNA is filed under the name uncultured bacterium. RNAcentral describes it as "bacterial SSU rRNA". It matches the Rfam family "Bacterial small subunit ribosomal RNA", at positions 15 to 518 of the family's 1533-position model. The record is from RNAcentral.